This 993-nucleotide ribosomal RNA is filed under the name Triticum aestivum (bread wheat). Its description in RNAcentral is "partial small subunit ribosomal RNA". Lineage: Eukaryota; Viridiplantae; Streptophyta; Magnoliopsida; Poales; Poaceae. The record is from RNAcentral.
AUGGUGCUCACCCGGACGGGGCUGAAGAAGACCGGCGAACUCCACCUUGCCGUCCGCUUCACCUGCAGGUCGUGGGCCAAAAUGCUGGCCACGUACGGCAAACCGCUGCCUCCCACGAUACACAUACACCACACCGACCCAAUCACGAUGCCGCAGGUGGACCCCCUCUGGUUGCAGGCGGAUGCGGUGCAGAGGGUGGUUACGCGGCUGGCCAGGGCGGAGCCACCACUGCGGAGGGAGGUGGUGGAGUACAUGCUCGACGUAGACCCACAAAUGUUCAGCCUGCGUCGUAGCCAGUCCAACUUCCAACGCAUCGCCUCCCUCUACUCCGGCGCCACCGCCGUCGCCAAAUGGUUCGACGACAUUUGCGAGUGGAAGAACCCACUGUCGACGAUUCUGGUCCACGUGCUGUUCCUGUACCUGGUGUGCUACCCGCAGCUGAUCCUGCCGAUGGUGCUCGUGCUCGUGGUCAUGAUCGGGGUGUGGAACUACCCGCGGCGGCCGCGGAAUCCGCCGCAUAUAGACACGGUGCUGUCGUACGCAGAUCAGGCGCAACCCGACGAGCUGGAAGAGGAGUUCGACACGUUCUCGACGUCCACGCCGGAUGACAUCGUGAAGCUGAGAUACGACCGGCUGCGGAGCGUCGCCGGCAGGUUGCAAAGGGAGCUCGGCGACCUGGCUAUGCACGCGGAGCGCGCGCAGUCGCUGCUUAGCUGGAGAGACCACAGGGUAACGCCCAUCUUCAUCAUGCUCUCCCUGGUGGUCGCCGUCGUGCUGUACUGGACGCCGUUGAAGGUGGUGGUCAUGGUGAUGGGGCUGUAUUUCCUCCUACCCUCGCGGUUCCGGCCCAGCAGGAGGAGGACCAGCAUGGUCUUCAACUUGUACAGUCGUCUGCCCUCCAAGGAUGACUCGAUGCAUGACUUUGAUUACGUUAUCACCAGGCGCUUUAGUGCUUAUUUUGAUGAAGAGCAAUGCUACACGUACGAAAGCUAA